RNAcentral lists this ribosomal RNA (509 nucleotides) under uncultured bacterium. RNAcentral describes it as "bacterial SSU rRNA". It matches the Rfam family "Bacterial small subunit ribosomal RNA", at positions 28 to 534 of the family's 1533-position model. The record is from RNAcentral.
GAUGAACGCUAGCGGCAGGCCUAAUACAUGCAAGUCGAACGGAUAUAUGUUUUUCGGAAUAUAUAUUAGUGGCGCACGGGUGAGUAACACGUACAUAACUUGCCCUCAAGCGGGGGAUAGCCUUGGGAAACUGAGAGUAAUACCCCAUAGAAUUAUUGGACGGCAUCGUUUGAUAAUUAAAACUACGGUGUUUGGGGAUAGAUGUGCGUCUGAUUAGCUAGUUGGUGAGGUAACUGCUCACCAAGGCGACGAUCAGUAGGGGGCGUGAGAGCGUGGCCCCCCCACACGGGUACUGAGACACGGACCCGACUCCUACGGGAGGCAGCAGUAAGGAAUAUUGGUCAAUGGAGGGAACUCUGAACCAGCCAUGCCGCGUGAAGGAUGACGGCCCUCUGGGUUGUAAACUUCUUUUGGAUGGGGCGAAAAAACGGGNUUUAUCCUGGACUGACGGUACCAUCAGAAUAAGCACCGGCUAACUCCGUGCCAGCAGCCGCGGUAAUGUAGUCGUG